GAUGAACGCUGGCGGCGUGCCUAAUACAUGCAAGUCGAGCGAACGGACGAGAAGCUUGCUUCUCUGAUGUUAGCGGCGGACGGGUGAGUAACACGUGGAUAACCUACCUAUAAGACUGGGAUAACUUCGGGAAACCGGAGCUAAUACCGGAUGAUAUUUUGAACCGCAUGGUUCAAAAGUGAAAGACGGUCUUGCUGUCACUUAUAGAUGGAUCCGCGCUGCAUUAGCUAGUUGGUAAGGUAACGGCUUACCAAGGCAACGAUGCAUAGCCGACCUGAGAGAGUGAGCGGCCACACUGGAACUGAGACACGGUCCAGACUCCUACGGGAGGCAGCAGUAGGGAAUCUUCCGCAAUGGGCGAAAGCCUGACGGAGCAACGCCGCGUGAGUGAUGAAGGUCUUCGGAUCGUAAAACUCUGUUAUUAGGGAAGAACAUAUGUGUAAGUAACUGUGCACAUCUUGACGGUACCUAAUCAGAAAGCCACGGCUAACUACGUG
RNAcentral lists this ribosomal RNA (497 nucleotides) under uncultured bacterium. RNAcentral's name for it is "partial 16S ribosomal RNA". It matches the Rfam family "Bacterial small subunit ribosomal RNA", at positions 28 to 507 of the family's 1533-position model. The record is from RNAcentral.